AUGAGUUUCUACCAUGUCAUUUUUUCCUCUUCCACGAGUUCCUCUUCAUCUUUAGCUUCAACAAAUUUCGUGGUAGGGCUAGGAGGGGGCUGGAGUGCUCCACCUCGCGCGAUCCCCCUUCUUACCCCGCGUAGGGGCUCGUCGCAUGCGGGCCAUCGAGGAAGGGCCGGAUGGGUAGGAGGGGAUGGAUCGGGGAAGCUGAGUGCAUGCCACAAUUAG
Molecule: ribosomal RNA, 219 nt
Filed under: Triticum aestivum (bread wheat)
Lineage: Eukaryota; Viridiplantae; Streptophyta; Magnoliopsida; Poales; Poaceae
Description: partial small subunit ribosomal RNA
Source: RNAcentral